GAAUGUGCCAACAUGAAUGAGCUGUGAGUGCUCUUCAGGGCCGGAAGCCUGAGUGCCUUUGUCAGGGGAGCACAAGCUGUGUCUCAGCAGUUACUCCCAGACAAGUUACCACCUACCGGGUCCUCUUGCUUUCCUGCUAAUCACCUCGACAUGACUUCAAUUUGACAGAAAGCACUCCAGUUACCCUAACCCAG
This 194-nucleotide long non-coding RNA is filed under the name Fukomys damarensis (Damara mole-rat). RNAcentral's name for it is "lncRNA (ENSFDAG00000029354.1)". Lineage: Eukaryota; Metazoa; Chordata; Mammalia; Rodentia; Bathyergidae. The record is from RNAcentral.